Molecule: ribosomal RNA, 403 nt
Filed under: uncultured bacterium
Lineage: Bacteria
Description: partial 16S ribosomal RNA
Rfam family: Bacterial small subunit ribosomal RNA
Source: RNAcentral
AUUGAACGCUGGCGGCCGGCCUAACACAUGCAAGUCGAGCGAGCUUCUGACGGGUUAGUAAUGUUUGGGGACUGCCCGAUCGAGGGGGAUAACUUCUGGAAACGGUAUCUAAUACCUCAUACUAUCUGCUAACCCAUCUGGUAUUAGCUAGUAGGUGUGGUAAUGGCUCACCUCGGAGACGAUCCCUAGCUGGUCUGAGAGGAUGAUCAGGCACACUGGGACUGAGACACGGCCCAGACUCCUACGGAGGCAGCAGUGGGGAAUAUUGCACAAUGGGCGCAAGCCGGAUGCAGCCAUGCCGCGUGUAUGAAGAAGGCCCUAGGGUUGUAAAGUACUUUCAGUCGGGAGGCGGGACCGACAGAAGAAGCACCGGCUAACUCCGUGCCAGCAGCCGCGGUAAUUA